UACUUUUCAUACGCCUGUUUCCUUGAUUUGGAGCAUUAUAUUGUGAGACGCCCUCAACUCAAGUAGCACUCCCAUAGUAUCAGAUAAUCCAACAACUGCAUGACUUCAAUUUCUCCCGUUAUAAUGUAGAGACCUCAGCAUCAGUAACCAAGAAUCUUAACCGAAGAGAGAGGAAUCUGAGAUCUUCAACGCACUAUAUGCCCCAAAACCUCCAAGGAUUGCUAAUGUUAACUUUCAGAACUAUAUAGGGAUACCCUUUUGCUUCUCAAUGAGGUUGUCUAGCUUUAGGACUUCAAAUGGAGGAGAAAGAUGGAUGUUGAUUCCACGGAUUGAAGCUAGGAGCAUAGGAAUACACUUUAAGAUUUGGUUAUUACUUUGAGUGGAUUCCAAUGUUUUGAUGUAUAUGCAAUGACAUGAUCUUGGCCAUGGACUCUUUGUUUGAGGAUGCCACCAUAACCUAUGUCUGAUGCAUCAGUUUCGACAAUUUUAAAUGCCUGUGGAAUAGGAAGAUACAUACAUUUUAUGGAUUGGACUUUGAGUUUGAUUUCUUUAACUGUUUGUGUAUGGAGGUCAGACCAAAGAGGAAAAUUUUUCUUCAGCCUAUCAUGUAAUGGCUUGACAAUAUUGUUUAAAUAGGGGACAAAUUCUCCUACAUAAUUUAGACAACCUAGAAAUCUUUGUAA
Molecule: long non-coding RNA, 683 nt
Organism: Glycine soja
Lineage: Eukaryota; Viridiplantae; Streptophyta; Magnoliopsida; Fabales; Fabaceae
Exons: 3
Source: RefSeq, a predicted model, not a curated record